CGUUCUCAGGGCGGGGUGCGAUUCCCCACCGGUGGUAAUUGCCAAUAUAACGGCAUAGCCCACGAGCGCUUGAUUACGCUGUGCAUAGGUAAACAAGGUCAGCAGACUUGGUGAGAUCCCAAGGCCGACGGUUACAGUCCGGAUGAAGAGAG
RNAcentral lists this non-coding RNA (152 nucleotides) under uncultured Pseudomonas sp. RNAcentral's name for it is "FMN riboswitch (RFN element)". It matches the Rfam family "FMN riboswitch aptamer (RFN element)". From Rfam's summary of the family: The RFN element is a highly conserved domain that is found frequently in the 5'-untranslated regions of prokaryotic mRNAs that encode for flavin mononucleotide (FMN) biosynthesis and transport proteins. This element is a metabolite-dependent riboswitch that directly binds FMN in the absence of proteins. Lineage: Bacteria; Pseudomonadati; Pseudomonadota; Gammaproteobacteria; Pseudomonadales; Pseudomonadaceae. The record is from RNAcentral.